AUCAUGGGGACCAAGAUUUUUCUCCUCCUCUGGUAUCUGCAAAAAAUAAAAUAAAAUAGAUGCAGUAGUAAGCAAGUAGACAAGACUAACUUAUGCCAUAAAUAUCAUCAUUAAUUGCCCAGAUUGAACUGUCUAAAGCAGAGAGGUCAGUGGAACAGAAGGCCUAACAAUUAAAGCUGACACACGAAAGCAUAGCAAUCAAAUUAAAACCCAGACCUUAGAUUCUCCAUUUUGAAAGAGGGUGGGGGAGGAAUGGAAUAUUAAUUCAAAUCUCUGCUUAAAGUUUCAAAACCUCACCAGUUUUCUUUAUUUUAGUUGGAAAAAAGAAGAGGGUAAAAAANNNNNNNNNNNNNNNNNNNNNNNNNUCAUGGGGACCAAGAUUUUUCUCCUCCUCUGGUAUCUGCAAAAAAUAAAAUAAAAUAGAUGCAGUAGUAAGCAAGUAGACAAGACUAACUUAUGCCAUAAAUAUCAUCAUUAAUUGCCCAGAUUGAACUGUCUAAAGCAGAGAGGUCAGUGGAACAGAAGGCCUAACAAUUAAAGCUGACACACGAAAGCAUAGCAAUCAAAUUAAAACCCAGACCUUAGAUUCUCCAUUUUGAAAGAGGGUGGGGGAGGAAUGGAAUAUUAAUUCAAAUCUCUGCUUAAAGUUUCAAAACCUCACCAGUUUUCUUUAUUUUGUUGAAAAAAGAGAGGUAAAAAAACCAGAAGGAGAUGAGGAAAAGAGAAAAAAGAAGAAACCAGCCAGACAAUACCUAGAGAACUAACCUCC
RNAcentral lists this long non-coding RNA (769 nucleotides) under Nicotiana tabacum (common tobacco). RNAcentral describes it as "long non-coding RNA (NTAB_LNC017021)". Lineage: Eukaryota; Viridiplantae; Streptophyta; Magnoliopsida; Solanales; Solanaceae. The record is from RNAcentral.